Long non-coding RNA from Globicephala melas (long-finned pilot whale), 703 nucleotides. RefSeq lists it as uncharacterized. The record is from RefSeq and is a predicted model, not a curated record. Lineage: Eukaryota; Metazoa; Chordata; Mammalia; Artiodactyla; Delphinidae.
UCUAUGGUUCGGAGGUUUUUCUCAUUCCGGGUGCCUCCCGCAGGGUGUGGCUGGACGCUUCUGAGACAGGUUUACUCUUUAACAGGUUGUAGCAACAAACUGUGUAGCAGAAGCACUUUCCCACAUCGACAUUAUCUGACACAUAUCUCACGAAAUCCUGCAAAGCAGUAUGCCUUCUAAAAGCGGCAGGCCCUGUGCAGGGGGCCGGCACAGAGGUGACUAAGGACCAAGGCUCCACUCAUAAGUUACAGUCCAGCCAGAGGAAGCCAUAUGACCACAUUAACAAGUUAUAAAACCGAUCAGAGCUCUGAAGAAAGGAAGAUGGUUCCACCGACUCCUAAAACGGAAGAGCCUUGGGUUCCCUGAGGAAAGUCAGAUCCGAAGGCUGGGGAGGAGUGAACCAUAUGGAGAGACUGCCACUCAGAGAAGUUAAGUACUUUGUCCAAGGGCACACAGCAGUGUGGUGGAACUAGAACUGAAAUCCACAUCUAUCUGACCCCAAAGAACCAGGGCUCCUUGGAGAAAUGACUGAUUCUAGGACUGGGGCAGAACAUGUACAAGAUGAGCCUGGAGCAUCUUGUAGUGCCAGAAAGUAAAGGAGUGCUCACAACACAAAAAGCAGAAAAACCCUGCUGUGACGGAGCUCCGUCAAAGAGCCAUGGGAACCAACUGAAAGAACUCCCAAUGGAUAAGUCUGGAAAUU